GUGUAAUGGACCACCAAACCUGUAACGGGAAGGGGCCUUGAGAGAGGGGGCCCGGACAUGGACACUGAGAGAAGGGUCCAGGUCCUACGGGGCGCAGCAGGCGCGAGAGGUUCGCAAUGCGCGAAAGCGUGACGAGGUUAAUCCGAGUGGUCCCCGCUGAGGGGAUCUUUUGUUGCCUCUAAAAAGGCCGAUGAAUAAGGGGACGGCAAGUCUGGUGUCACCCGCCGCGGUAAUACCAGCUCCUCGAGUGGUCGGGGCGAUUAUUGUCCCUAAAGCAUCCGUAUCCGGUUCUGUAGGUCCUCUGUCAAAUCCAACGGCUUAACCGUUGGCCCGCAUAUGAUACCGCAGGACUAUUAUGCGGUAGAGGUGGACGGUACUCGACGUGUAUUGCUAAAAUCCUUUGAUCCGUCGAACA
This 415-nucleotide ribosomal RNA is filed under the name uncultured archaeon. RNAcentral's name for it is "bacterial SSU rRNA". It matches the Rfam family "Archaeal small subunit ribosomal RNA", at positions 239 to 656 of the family's 1478-position model. The record is from RNAcentral.